AUACCCUAUUAUUUUAAGCUAUAUAUUGGUAGUAAUUAAUAAUUUAUGAAAUCAUAAGAUUUUGGCGGUAUUUUAAGCUUAUUAGAGGAAUUUGCUCUGUAAUGGAUACAACGCCUUAAUCUUACUUAAUUUGGUUUUAAAGUCAGUUUGUAUACCACUAUAUUUAAUUAUAUUGAAUAAUUAUAUUUAAGAUUUUUUUUUAUAAAAAAUAUAUUAAGUCAAGGUGCAAUUUAUAAUUAUGAAUGAAGUGAAUUACAUUAAUUUUAAUUUUACUUAAAUAUUGAAAAAAAAAAUUAUAGGAUUUAAUAGUAAAAU
This 315-nucleotide ribosomal RNA is filed under the name Ixodes affinis. Its description in RNAcentral is "partial 12S ribosomal RNA". Lineage: Eukaryota; Metazoa; Arthropoda; Arachnida; Ixodida; Ixodidae. The record is from RNAcentral.